RNAcentral lists this ribosomal RNA (824 nucleotides) under bacterium. Its description in RNAcentral is "bacterial SSU rRNA". It matches the Rfam family "Bacterial small subunit ribosomal RNA", at positions 29 to 864 of the family's 1533-position model. The record is from RNAcentral.
AUGAACGCUGGCGGCGUGCUUAACACAUGCAAGUCGAACGGUGAAGCCCAGCUUGCUGGGUGGAUCAGUGGCGAACGGGUGAGUAACACGUGAGCAAUCUGCCCCUGACUCUGGGAUAAGCGCUGGAAACGGCGUCUAAUACCGGAUAUGAGCUACGGCCGCAUGGUCGGUAGUUGGAAAGAAUUUCGGUCAGGGAUGAGCUCGCGGCCUAUCAGCUUGUUGGUGAGGUAAUGGCUCACCAAGGCGUCGACGGGUAGCCGGCCUGAGAGGGUGACCGGCCACACUGGGACUGAGACACGGCCCAGACUCCUACGGGAGGCAGCAGUGGGGAAUAUUGCACAAUGGGCGCAAGCCUGAUGCAGCAACGCCGCGUGAGGGAUGACGGCCUUCGGGUUGUAAACCUCUUUUAGCGAGGAAGAAGCGAAAGUGACGGUACUCGCAGAAAAAGCGCCGGCUAACUACGUGCCAGCAGCCGCGGUAAUACGUAGGGCGCAAGCGUUAUCCGGAAUUAUUGGGCGUAAAGAGCUCGUAGGCGGUUUGUCGCGUCUGCUGUGAAAACUGGAGGCUCAACCUCCAGCCUGCAGUGGGUACGGGCAGACUAGAGUGCGGUAGGGGAGAUUGGAAUUCCUGGUGUAGCGGUGGAAUGCGCAGAUAUCAGGAGGAACACCGAUGGCGAAGGCAGAUCUCUGGGCCGUAACUGACGCUGAGGAGCGAAAGGAUGGGGAGCAAACAGGCUUAGAUACCCUGGUAGUCCAUCCCGUAAACGUUGGGAACUAGUUGUGGGGUCCAUUCCACGGAUUCCGUGACGCAGCUAACGCAUUAAG